Long non-coding RNA from Suncus etruscus (white-toothed pygmy shrew), 206 nucleotides. RefSeq lists it as uncharacterized. The transcript has 3 exons. NCBI's taxonomy places the organism in Eukaryota, Metazoa, Chordata, Mammalia, Eulipotyphla, Soricidae. The record is from RefSeq and is a predicted model, not a curated record.
CCAGACCCGAGCAGAUUUCAUGGAUGACGACGGAGCCUGGGCACAAGCAGAGAAGCUGGUGGGUGGUACUGCAUUGUCCGAGUCCAUCAGCAGCUGUGCAGGGAGCCUCGCUACCCCAGACCCUACCUGUGGCUCCCCGUGGCUGGACGAGAUGCCCAAGGCCCAGAAACUGGGCUCAGGCACGACCUGGACCAACCAGAGCUUCG